RNAcentral lists this ribosomal RNA (253 nucleotides) under uncultured bacterium. RNAcentral describes it as "partial 16S ribosomal RNA". It matches the Rfam family "Bacterial small subunit ribosomal RNA", at positions 524 to 776 of the family's 1533-position model. The record is from RNAcentral.
UACAGAGGUCCCAAGCGUUACUGAGAAUCACUGGGUUUAAAGGGUGCGUAGGUGGUCCGUUAAGUCAGUUGUGAAAUCCCCGGGCUCAACCCGGGAACUGCUUCUGAUACUGGCGGACUUGAGGCCAGUAGGGGUCACUAGAACUGACGGUGGAGCGGUGAAAUGCGUAGAGAUCGGAAAGAACACCAACGGCGAAAGCACUCUGCUGGGCCGACACUGACACUGAGAGACGAAAGCUAGGGGAGCGAAUGGG